RNAcentral lists this ribosomal RNA (433 nucleotides) under uncultured Oscillospiraceae bacterium. Its description in RNAcentral is "partial 16S ribosomal RNA". It matches the Rfam family "Bacterial small subunit ribosomal RNA", at positions 341 to 788 of the family's 1533-position model. The record is from RNAcentral. Lineage: Bacteria; Bacillati; Bacillota; Clostridia; Eubacteriales; Oscillospiraceae.
ACGGAAGGCAGCAGUGGGGAAUAUUGGGCAAUGGGCGAAAGACUGACCCAGCAACGCCGCGUGAAGGAAGAAGGCCUUCGGGUUGUAAACUUCUUUUAUCAGGGACGAAGAAAGCGACGGUACCUGAUGAAUAAGCCACGGCUAACUACGUGCCAGCAGCCGCGGUAAUACGUAGGUGGCGAGCGUUAUCCGGAUUUACUGGGUGUAAAGGGCGCGUAGGCGGGGAUGCAAGUCAGAUGUGAAAUCUAUGGGCUCAACUCAUAAACUGCAUUUGAAACUGUAUCUCUUGAGUGUCGGAGAGGUAGACGCAAUUCCUAUUGUAGCGGUGAAAUGCGUAGAUAUUAGGAGGAACACCAGUGGCGAAGUCGGUCUACUGGACGAUAACUGACGCUGAGGCGCGAAAGCGUGGGGAGCAAACAGUAUUAGAUACCCU